UACGAAGGGGGCAAGCGUUGUUCGGAAUUACUGGGCGUAAAGGGCGCGUAGGCGGCCGAUCAAGUCAGGCGUGAAAUUCCCGGGCUCAACCUGGGGGCUGCGCUUGAUACUGAUUGGCUUGAAUGCGGGAGAGGAUAGUGGAAUUCCCAGUGUAGAGGUGAAAUUCGUAGAUAUUGGGAAGAACACCGGUGGCGAAGGCGGCUAUCUGGCCCGUUAUUGACGCUGAGGCGCGAAAGCGUGGGGAGCAAACAGG
RNAcentral lists this ribosomal RNA (253 nucleotides) under uncultured bacterium. RNAcentral's name for it is "partial 16S ribosomal RNA". It matches the Rfam family "Bacterial small subunit ribosomal RNA", at positions 524 to 776 of the family's 1533-position model. The record is from RNAcentral.